Molecule: long non-coding RNA, 571 nt
Organism: Hemicordylus capensis (graceful crag lizard)
Lineage: Eukaryota; Metazoa; Chordata; Lepidosauria; Squamata; Cordylidae
Exons: 2
Source: RefSeq, a predicted model, not a curated record
CAGUGAUUAGCCAAUUAUUGAGAGGAAGCUCUGGGCCCUUUUCAUGGCCAUUGCUGAGAAAGCCCGGGAACUUUCCUGGGAAAGUCUGGGAACAUUCAUGGCCAUUGCUGGGAAAGGCUUCUGUGAGGCGAGGCCCUGACAAGAAUGCCAAUAUAUAGUGAAACCUCUUCCAUCAUAUAGGGAAAAAGGAGAGCUGUGUCUCUCUCUCUGCAACCUUUGGAAUAUAGAUGGUGGGUUUUAUGAAGAUUCAGACACUGGCAUGAAUGACAAAGGAGGAACAAAUUCACCUGGUAGGCUGCGGCAAAAGCAAGAGAGGGAGCAAGCAAACAAAAACCUUCAGGGAGAGUAUAAACCACAAACAUUCCUCCAUCCAUGUACAGCAUCUCCAUCACCAUCCAUGUACAGCAUCUAUAUACUGGAUUUUUAUAUUGUGAGCCCUUUGGGGCCAAGGAGCCAUCUCCUUUAUUUAUUAUUCAUUGUUCUAUGUACACUGCUUUGAGAAUUCUUGUUGAAAAGCAGUAUAUAUAAAUAGUAGGGGUCGUCAUCUUUGCAAUUCCCCCACAUCUUUGUA